AGCAGCCGCGGUAAUUCCAGCUCCAAUAGCGUAUAUUAAAGUUGUUGCAGUUAAAAAGCUCGUAGUUGAAUUUCGGGAUCAAGUCGUCGGUCGUGCUCAGGUACGUACUGGCGUCAUUGAUUUCUCCCUUCUGACGAACCAUGAUGUCAUUAAUUUGGUGUUAUGGGAAAUCAGGACUGUUACUUUGAAAAAAUUAGAGUGUUAAAGCAGGCUCACGCUUGAAUACAUUAGCAUGGAAUAAUGAAAAUAGGACGUUCGAUCCUAUUUUGUUGGUUUUAGGAUCAACGUAAUGAUUAAUAGGGAUAGUUGGGGGCAUUAGUAUUCAAUUGUCGAGAGGUUGAAAUUCUUGGAUUUAUUGAAGACUAACUACUGCGAAAAGCAUUUGCCAAGGAUGUUUUUCAUUUAAUCAAAGAACGAAAUGUUAGGGGAUCGAAGACGAUCAGAUACCGUCGUAGUCUUAACCAUAAACUAUGCCGACUAGGGAUCGGAUGAUGUUAAUUUUUUAAUGACUCAUUC
Molecule: ribosomal RNA, 516 nt
Filed under: uncultured Glomus
Lineage: Eukaryota; Fungi; Glomeromycota; Glomeromycetes; Glomerales; Glomeraceae
Description: SSU rRNA
Rfam family: Eukaryotic small subunit ribosomal RNA
Source: RNAcentral